GAGAAUGAAUGAAGGUAUUUUUGAGUUAAUUUCUUUUUGCUAUACUUUUUAGCUUUUUCUUGCCUUCACAUUUGCUCUAAGGAAUCCAGGCCCUGCCAGAAAGUAUCCUUGACCAGCUACCCAGUUCGGCCAACCAGAUCAUCCAGAAUGACAGAAGCAUGUUUGCAUAGAGGAAAGAGGAGUUGUAGCAUGAGGAAUGCUUCAGUUUGAAUCUGACUCUGUGUUUUUUCUUGUGAGACUUUGAUCAAGGUAAUUACAUUUUGCAACUUUAGAAAGUUAGCUCUAAUCAAGUAAAAACUCUUUCUUUCCUUGAUGAUAUGGUAUAUCUUGGUGCUUAGAAAUAUGUGG
RNAcentral lists this long non-coding RNA (348 nucleotides) under Fukomys damarensis (Damara mole-rat). RNAcentral describes it as "lncRNA (ENSFDAG00000028336.1)". The record is from RNAcentral. Lineage: Eukaryota; Metazoa; Chordata; Mammalia; Rodentia; Bathyergidae.